RNAcentral lists this long non-coding RNA (572 nucleotides) under Serinus canaria (Common canary). Its description in RNAcentral is "lncRNA (ENSSCAG00000008680.1)". The record is from RNAcentral. Lineage: Eukaryota; Metazoa; Chordata; Aves; Passeriformes; Fringillidae.
CUGUGUAUUAACGCUGCUGUAUGGCUUUGAGAUUGAAAUUUCUGUCAUGUCUAAUCAGCUUGAAAUGAAGACUUGUGUUGAGUGGCAGCAAUUCACAAUAUAUUCCAUAGAAGAAAUAAAAUAACCUGGAUAAAGGUCAGAAAAUUCCUUGAUUUGGCAGGAUGGUAUUUUGGGCUCCAUAACAAAGAACGUCUGCACCAAAACCUAGAAGUACUUGGCUCAAUUAAUUUUUCCAUGUAUGCUGUUCAUUUUGUCAAGACAAUUUCUGAAGUUUAAAUUUUCUUCUGUUAACUAUGGUAUUUGCAUAAUACUAAUGCCCAAAGCACACAUUUAAUUUGUGAAUGUGGGUUUUUUUUCAUCAACAUUGUCACCAUUAAUGGUGUUUUCUGUGACUGGCUCUGAAAACUUGAAGGUCUAUUGAUGCAGAACUUCAGGAUUUACCCAAAGCAUGCUGAACUAGUAUUUGAACAAUAAUUGAGGAGAAAUGAAUCUAUGCUUGUUGAAGUGUCCUAAGUAUUUUAGGAAGAAAAAGAUUUAAAAAAACCAAAAAAAAAAAAAACCCUAUGGUCCUU